UCACCACAGCCCGGUUCCACAGGUGUUAUCCUGUUUUACAGACGUGGAAACUGGCACAGAGAGAGUUAAGUAUCCUGCCCGAAGCCCCACCCAGAGAACCCAAUUCAGCUCAGCUGACAUUUACCAGUCCCUGCCCUGGAGGAGUGGGAGACCGAUGAAGUGCUUGAUGUGGUUAGCUUCUUGGCUACUUUCUGCCAGGCGGAAAAGGGUUCCAGGCCACAGAGCAUCCUGACAGCCAGAACCAGACACCUGUAGUGUGGGGAGGAAGGUCUGAGGAGCCAAGCACUACGCCACUGCCUGGUGACUCUGAAGACGUCCCCAGACAACUGAGUCCUCCUGGGCAAGGGGGAUGAGGCUAGCAGCUUAACUUCUCUCAGCUGAGGGUGAUGAACAAGGAGAGGGGAGGAGCCCAGAGGGGCCCGGCCCUCCAGGUCUGGGUCCUGACUCCACCUCCAGGCUCCACUUCUGGUCCAUCUUUCGAGGCGUCUGAAGCUACCACCCAGAGACCACCUCCCCUUAGAUUCUAAGGUCCUUUCCCCUCCCCUUCCCCCUCCUACCUCUGUCCCACACCCACCGCACGGACCCUCUGCAGGAAGCAACAAGGUCCAAAUGGAGUCGCUGACCUGCCCUCUGGGCAAAUACAGAGCCCUCACCUUUCCCAGAGGCUGAAAGGGGACCAAGCCUGCGGGCCCCCUCCCAGGAUGGAUCCAGUGCUUUUAUUUAUCGAACCAGUCCCUGCCUGGCUUCAAAUGAGAGGAAAGACAUUCUUUCUCUUCCUAAAGGGAAAUAAGAAUUAACGAUAGGUACUCUGAAUUGAGAGCACCUGUGCCAGCCGUGCUGUGAAGUACUUUACAUGCAUCAUCCUCUUCCUUCUUACAACAGCCCAGCAAGGUAAGUAAAAGUAUUCCCAUUUUAUAGAUGAAGAAAGUAAUCCUAAAUGACUUGUCCAAAGAGGUGGUAGCAUUGAGGUGAAAAUCCAGCUCCGUCGAAUGCAUCACGAAUUAUCCAGCUCAUUGCAUUUGCUGAUAAGCAUUGUGUUCAUUUUCUCUAGUUUUGGCGUCCUUCUCCAACCCUCUUUCCCAACACUCCACAGACCUCUCCAGCUAUCAUAAAAUUCCCCAGAUUUGCCCACCCUGAGAAUCUACUUUCCAGUAGAUCCAGACC
Molecule: non-coding RNA, 1164 nt
Organism: Delphinapterus leucas (beluga whale)
Lineage: Eukaryota; Metazoa; Chordata; Mammalia; Artiodactyla; Monodontidae
Source: RefSeq, a predicted model, not a curated record